UUAAAUUGAAGAGUUUGAUCAUGGCUCAGAUUGAACGCUGGCGGCAGGCCUAACACAUGCAAGUCGAACGGUAACAGGAAGCAGCUUGCUGUUUCGCUGACGAGUGGCGGACGGGUGAGUAAUGUCUGGGAAACUGCCUGAUGGAGGGGGAUAACUACUGGAAACGGUAGCUAAUACCGCAUAACGUCGCAAGACCAAAGAGGGGGAC
This 208-nucleotide ribosomal RNA is filed under the name Escherichia coli. RNAcentral describes it as "partial 16S ribosomal RNA". It matches the Rfam family "Bacterial small subunit ribosomal RNA", at positions 1 to 214 of the family's 1533-position model. The record is from RNAcentral. Lineage: Bacteria; Pseudomonadati; Pseudomonadota; Gammaproteobacteria; Enterobacterales; Enterobacteriaceae.